This is a long non-coding RNA of Cannabis sativa, 999 nucleotides long. RefSeq lists it as uncharacterized. The record is from RefSeq and is a predicted model, not a curated record. The transcript is spliced from 2 exons. Lineage: Eukaryota; Viridiplantae; Streptophyta; Magnoliopsida; Rosales; Cannabaceae.
AAAAAUACAUUUGAAGAAAACAUUCUAGAUAGUGAUUUUCAGUAACUAAUUUAUAUUUUUUUAAUAUUUAAUUAAGUAAAAAAAUAUAUAUAAGUUGAAAAUUAAUUUGUUAAUUAAUUUAAGAUCAACUUAAAUUAAUAGAUUUUUCUUAGAACUUAAAUUAAAAUUAAUAAUUAAAUUAAUUUUAUUCAAGAUACUUAAUUAUUUAUUUUUAUUUUAAAAAAUUCAAUUAAAUAGUAAAAUAUAUUUAGAUGGAGCAAUAUAAAUGUCUCUGAACUUGGAUAGUGUAACUUGGUAGUUUAACAAUUUUUUCUUUAUCGGAAUUUUAAAUUUGUGGGUUUAGCAAGAGGUUUAAACAAUUAAUGAAAACUCAUAAGAAUAAGGGUAGUUGAUACUGUAUACUAACGUGUAGAUAGUUUGAAUUAAGAAGGUUAGGUAGGAUUUUGAAUAUUAGAUUAUCGAAAUGGAAAGGUAGGUGACAAAACAAAAGCUUCUUGCUCGUAACUUAGUCGACUCGUUACAAAAUAUUUAUAUGUAUAUAUGUAUAAUGUAUAUAUAGUGAAAUUGCAGUUUUAUUAGCUAUAUUCUAUUGUUUGAACAAAAUAAAUUAGUGAUGGUGAAUUGGUUUGAGAAGAAGAAAGAGUAGUGAAUAGUGAUUGUGAUUCGUGGUGGAACUUGGAAGUAGAGCCUAGAGAGAUGCCUCCUCCGGGAUUCAAUGGUGGGCCUCCAGGCCCAUUUGGUUGUUUGGGUUCUCUCUGUCAUGGUUUAUGCAGGCUUGUUUCUUCCUGUGCCUAUUUCCUGUGCUGUUGCUGCCUCCUAGAGAGCUGCUGUGGGCCAUUGUUUGGUGGCCCUCCAGGCCCGCCAGGCCCACCAGGUGGGCCUCGAUUCUGAUUGGCUUGGUGAUGAUGAUGCCAGAAUUUGAUUUACAAACAACUAUCAUGUAAUAAACACAGUCUGCUUUAUUUUUAUAUGGUACUUAAUUAAUAUUGUUGUGUUUGA